This 413-nucleotide long non-coding RNA is filed under the name Homo sapiens (human). Its description in RNAcentral is "HSALNT0361220". Lineage: Eukaryota; Metazoa; Chordata; Mammalia; Primates; Hominidae. The record is from RNAcentral.
UGGUUUUAAAAAUUAGAAUAUUUACAGAAUGUUAUACAAAAUAGAAAAUCUUUAUACCUUAGAAGAUCUUCAUGGUGUCUUGGAUAGAUCACUGACAAGUAAUACUUACGCAGAUCACUUCCUCCCCAAGGCUUCAGCCUGCCAAUGGAAAGAGGUUUUGGUAUCAGGAUGACACCAAAAGCAAUGGCAACAAAAGCCAAAAUUGACAAAUGGAAUCUAAUUAAACUAAAGAGCUUCUGCACAGCAAAAGAAACUAUCAUCAGAGUGAACAGGCAACCUACAGAAUGGGAGAAAAUUCCUGCAAUCUAUCCAUCUGACAACGGGCUAAUAUCCAGAAUCUACAAGGAACUUAAACAAAUUUACAAGAAAAAAGCAAACAACCCCAUCAAAAAAUAGCCAUAAGUGGAAGCAGC